This 681-nucleotide ribosomal RNA is filed under the name Triticum aestivum (bread wheat). Its description in RNAcentral is "partial small subunit ribosomal RNA". Lineage: Eukaryota; Viridiplantae; Streptophyta; Magnoliopsida; Poales; Poaceae. The record is from RNAcentral.
AUGAAGAGGGCUCACAAGGUGGUCCUGGCCCAGCCGGCGGCGGCGGCGGCGCCGCCGCCUCGGCCGCUGCCUCGCGCGCCCCGGCCAGUCCGCGGCGACGGGGGCGAGGCGUUCAGGGCGAGCCAGAGGUACCAGAGCCUCCUCCAGGACUACAAGGAGCUCCUCAAGGAAACUGCAGCAAAGAAGAACAGAUUGCAUUUGGAGAAGCUGAAGAAGCAAAGGCUUUCGGCUGAAGUCAAGUUUUUGCGAAGAAGGUACAAAUCAAUGUCCGAAAAUCCAUCUCAGACUGCUGUUUAUAGACUGAAGAACCCGGCAAUGACGCCUACUUCCCGGACCGCCGUGUGGGUUGAUCACCAUGGGCCUGUUCAGGCUGUCGGGAGUUCAAGCAAAGUUCAUCUGCCCGCACAGCAGCAAAGGCAGCAUCUGGUUCCACGGGCGUCUCCGGUUAUCGACCUCAACGAGGCUUGUGAGCUGAGUUCCUCCGAGGAGACGGAAGAAUUUCAUGGUUACCAGGAGACUGUUAGGGUGGACAAGGUGAACAGGUACCUGUUAGAGGGCAAUGUUGUCGCCGGUCCCAGUGACUCGAAAAUGCCGACGUUCUGGGAUGCCCGGAACCCUGCGGCGACGCGUGCUGGGAAGAGGAAGAUCUCAUGGCAGGAUCAGUUGGCUCUUAGAGUAUAG